Molecule: ribosomal RNA, 375 nt
Filed under: uncultured bacterium
Lineage: Bacteria
Description: bacterial SSU rRNA
Rfam family: Bacterial small subunit ribosomal RNA
Source: RNAcentral
UAAGACGAACCGUGCGAACGUUGUUCGGAAUCACUGGGCUUAAAGGGCGCGUAGGCGGCUUGCCAAGUCAGGGGUGAAAUCUUUCGGCUUAACCGGAAAAGUGCCUUUGAUACUGGCGAGCUCGAGUGAGGUAGGGGCAGAUGGAACUGUUGGUGGAGCGGUGAAAUGUGUUGAUAUCAACAGGAACGCCGGUGGCGAAAGCGAUCUGCUGGACCUCUUCUGACGCUGAGGCGCGAAAGCUAGGGGAGCAAACGGGAUUAGAUACCCCGGUAGUCCUAGCCCUAAACGAUGGGUACUGAGUAGUGGACUUACAUGGGUUCACUGCUGAAGCAAAAGUGGUAAGUACCCCGCCUGGGGAGUAUGGUCGCAAGGCUG